UGACACUGAACACUGGUCCUUGAUGUGUAGGAUAGGUGGGAGGCUUUGAAGUGUGGACGCCAGUCUGCAUGGAGCCAUCCUUGAAAUACCACCCUUUAAUGGCUGGUGUUCUAACGUGGGCCCGUAAUCCGGGUUGCGGACAGUGUCUGGUGGGUAGUUUGACUGGGGCGGUCUCCUCCUAAAGAGUAACGGAGGAGCACGAAGGUCAGCUAAUCCUGGUCGGACAUCAGGAGGUUAGUGCAAUGGCAUAAGCUGGCUUGACUGCGAGCGUGACGGCGCGAGCAGGUGCGAAAGCAGGUCAUAGUGAUCCGGUGGUUCUGAAUGGAAGGGCCAUCGCUCAACGGAUAAAAGGUACUCCGGGGAUAACAGGCUGAUACCGCCCAAGAGUUCAUAUCGACGGCGGUGUUUGGCACCUCGAUGUCGGCUCAUCACAUCCUGGGGCUGAAGUAGGUCCCAAGGGUAUGGCUGUUCGCCAUUUAAAGUGGUACGCGAGCUGGGUUUAGAACGUCGUGAGACAGUUCGGUCCCUAUCUGCCGUGGGCGCUGGAGAAUUGAGGGGGGCUGCUCCUAGUACGAGAGGACCGGAGUGGACGCAUCACUGGUGUUCGGGUUGUCAUGCCAAUGGCAUUGCCCGGUAGCUAAAUGCGGAAGAGAUAAGUGCUGAAAGCAUCUAAGCACGAAACUUGCCCCGAGAUGAGUUCUCCCUGACUCCUUGAGAGUCCUGAAGGAACGUUGAAGACGACGACGUUGAUAGGCCGGGUGUGUAAGCGCAGCGAUGCGUUGAGCUAACCGGUACUAAUGAACCGUGAGGCUUAACCUU
This 819-nucleotide ribosomal RNA is filed under the name Klebsiella oxytoca. Its description in RNAcentral is "partial 23S ribosomal RNA". It matches the Rfam family "Bacterial large subunit ribosomal RNA", at positions 2112 to 2925 of the family's 2925-position model. Lineage: Bacteria; Pseudomonadati; Pseudomonadota; Gammaproteobacteria; Enterobacterales; Enterobacteriaceae. The record is from RNAcentral.